UACGGAGGGAGCUAGCGUUGUUCGGAAUCACUGGGCGUAAAGGGUGCGUAGGCGGCGUGGUAAGUCAGUUGUGAAAGGCCGGGGCUCAACCCUGGUAUUGCAACCGAUACUGCCGUGCUGGAGUGCUGGAGGGGAGUCUGGAAUUCACGGUGGAGCAGUGAAAUGCGUAGAUAUCGUGAGGAACACCAGUGGCGAAGGCGAGACUCUGGACAGCAACUGACGCUGAGGCACGAAGGCUAGGGUAGCGAACGGG
This 253-nucleotide ribosomal RNA is filed under the name uncultured bacterium. Its description in RNAcentral is "partial 16S ribosomal RNA". It matches the Rfam family "Bacterial small subunit ribosomal RNA", at positions 524 to 776 of the family's 1533-position model. The record is from RNAcentral.